GACGAACGCUGGCGGCGUGCUUAACACAUGCAAGUCGAACGGAAAGGCCCUGCUUUUGUGGGGUGCUCGAGUGGCGAACGGGUGAGUAACACGUGAGUAACCUGCCCUUGACUUUGGGAUAACUUCAGGAAACUGGGGCUAAUACCGGAUAGGAGCUCCUGCUGCAUGGUGGGGGUUGGAAAGUUUCGGCGGUUGGGGAUGGACUCGCGGCUUAUCAGCUUGUUGGUGGGGUAGUGGCUUACCAAGGCUUCGACGGGUAGCCGGCCUGAGAGGGUGACCGGCCACAUUGGGACUGAGAUGCAGACAAAAAUCCUACAGGAGGCAACAGUGGAGAAUAUUACAGAAUGGGCGGAAGCGUGAUGCAGCAACGCCGCGUGCGGGAUGACGGCCUUCGGAUUGUAAACCGCUAUCGCCUGUGACGAAGCGUGAAUGACGGUAAUGGGUAAAGCAGCACCGGCUAACUACGUG
This 468-nucleotide ribosomal RNA is filed under the name uncultured bacterium. RNAcentral describes it as "partial 16S ribosomal RNA". It matches the Rfam family "Bacterial small subunit ribosomal RNA", at positions 28 to 507 of the family's 1533-position model. The record is from RNAcentral.